GGGCAAAAAUUUUGUGGUUGGGUUGGUGUCCCAGUCCCUCCACUUGAAGCCUUGCCCAGUUACAGAAGAUGGCUGAUUCAGGCUUGGUGUCCCCCAUCACUAGGAGUCCUCACUAGGGUCACCCUUGUAGAUUCCAGGGAGUUCUCACUGCAUUAGUUUUCCCCAUAGCCCCUCAAAUGACCCCCAAUUCUGGUUUUCUCUCCCCAUGCUCUCUCUUCCCUUCUUCCCACCCCAACUACCCCCAGUCCACCUGGAAAUUCUAUUUUGUGGGGAAUUUUCUUGACAGAUGAUUGAUGUGAAAGGAUCCAGCCCACUAUGGGCAGUGCCCCCCUUAGGCAGGUGGUCUUGGAUGGUAUAAGAAAGCAGACUGAGAAAGCCACGAGGAGUCAGUCAGUAAGCGGCACUCCUUCAUGGCCUCUGCAUCAGUUCCCGCCUGCAGUUUCCCACCCUGACUUCCCUGAGUGAGGGACUAUGAACUGUAAGAUGAAAGAAACCCCUUUCACCCCCAAGGUGCCUUUGGUCAGAGUGUUUUAUCAGAAUAGAAACCCUAAGACGGAUAGCUUUCUAAAUUGCUUCAUUUUCUGAGGCUCUGAGAAUACACCUGGUUCCCUAAAGCAUCAAAUUAUGCUUAUCUAUUUAAGUAUACUUGAGCUUCUAUUCUACAUUUGUGGGUUCUGUAUGCACAGAUUCAACCAAUUGUGAACUUAAAACGAGACAAAAUUAUGUCUGCCCUGAACAUUUACCGACAUUUAUUUCUUAUCAUUAUCCCUUAAGUAAUAUAGCAUGACAACUAUUUGUGCAGCAUUUACACUUCUUAUAAGUAAUGUAGAGAUGAUUUGAAGUAUAUGAGAAUAUAGGUGCUAGUUAUAUGUAAGUAUUAAUCCAUGUUAUGUAUGAACCUCAAAUACUGGCAGAUUCCAAUUUCUUCAGGGCAUCCUGGAUGCAGUGCUCUUAUGGACGCUAAGGACCAACACAGUUAUAACUGAUCCGUGCCCAGUACCUUUGUGUUAUCUGACUACUCAUACGGGUAUGGAGCCUGGCCAGAAUGCGUCGAUGCACCAGCUAUCAUACUGUAAAGGGAAAGCCAUUCCACUUCUCUGAGCAGCUACCAAAUGCCAAUAGCUUCUUGGCUGGGGUGGAGCUUCAUGACCACUCCUUCCCAUCCAGAGAAGAAUAAGCUAACGGAUGACUGGAAUCGUCAAGAAUGAAAAAUGAACAGAUUUGACUUAUGCUCCGUGGGAUCUGCUCUGCAGCUAUUCUUUGUAGUUGAGAGGCUACUGAAUCUUGCUGUCUAACAUAAGGGUCAAAGAUGGUGACAGAUUAGAUCUUGCUGUCUCUUACAGUCACAUUGUGUUGUAUGACUGGAGCUAGGUGAGAUCCAGGAACCACUCGAUGACCUUACUUGUUGCAGCAAGGGCAAUGGUGUGGCACAGCUCUAUAUUUGUUUGUUUCCUCACCCAAAGCCUUGAAUCUCUGAAACUCAAAAUGGACUUCAUCAGAAGUAGAAAAUAAUUUUCUAAAUUAAAAGGCCUUCAAACAACAAAUAAACUAACAUAUUUACAUCAUAAUAAACUUUUGUCUAUCUCUA
Long non-coding RNA from Peromyscus leucopus (white-footed mouse), 1588 nucleotides. RefSeq lists it as uncharacterized. NCBI's taxonomy places the organism in Eukaryota, Metazoa, Chordata, Mammalia, Rodentia, Cricetidae. The transcript has 3 exons. The record is from RefSeq and is a predicted model, not a curated record.